GCUGUUUGGUCUUUUGCAAGCAAAGUAAUUUUAUUUGUUUUUAAAGCUUUUUUUCACUUGCCGCGGCCAGUUUAAAGUAUUUUUGUGUGAAAUACAAGUCUGAUCGCGAUAUUGAAGUGUGCAUCUUGGUGUGCAAAAUCGAUUUUCCAAUCAGAGUUACACCGGAGACGUCCCACGUUGUGCCAAUGGCAAAAAUUUUUCGCUGCAAGCUGCAACGGGUGAGAAUGUUUCGUCGGAUCUGGGCCCAAACUGAACGUCCUGUUUUAUUGGAAGGUGUCCACCGAAUCGCCGGCAUCACAGAAUCGGUCAACAAGGCGUCGGCCAUUUUCGGCUUCCCUUGGUAUCGAGACUUAGGGCUACCAGCAUCGAAGCCGGAAAAUCACUUGGCCGUCUUGGUCGAACUGCGAAAUGCUUCCUACGGGCUGGAGGCUUCGAUGGUAUGAGUGGCUCACCAUGGGAAAAAAGUGUACCUUCAGCGCGAAGUGCUUUGGGCACGAUCGUCGAAUCGAAAUGACCUGAAACGACCAAACAUUGCGACACGGGAUAGCGAUCCGAAGAAAUUUAUCCGGUAAUCAAAGAUUUUUGCGGUAGUGAAUGAAAUUUAAUAAAAGUAUGUUUUACAAAUG
Molecule: long non-coding RNA, 626 nt
Organism: Culex pipiens pallens (northern house mosquito)
Lineage: Eukaryota; Metazoa; Arthropoda; Insecta; Diptera; Culicidae
Exons: 2
Source: RefSeq, a predicted model, not a curated record